GAGUAGCUCAGUUGGUAGAGCGCAACCUUGCCAAGGUUGAGGUCGCGAGUUCGAGACUCGUCUCCCGCUCCA
RNAcentral lists this transfer RNA (72 nucleotides) under Burkholderia multivorans. RNAcentral describes it as "tRNA-Gly". It matches the Rfam family "tRNA". Rfam says of the family: Transfer RNA (tRNA) molecules are approximately 80 nucleotides in length. Their secondary structure includes four short double-helical elements and three loops (D, anti-codon, and T loops). Further hydrogen bonds mediate the characteristic L-shaped molecular structure. tRNAs have two regions of fundamental functional importance: the anti-codon, which is responsible for specific mRNA codon recognition, and the 3' end, to which the tRNAs corresponding amino acid is attached (by aminoacyl-tRNA synthetases). tRNAs cope with the degeneracy of the genetic code in two manners: having more than one tRNA (with a specific anti-codon) for a particular amino acid; and 'wobble' base-pairing, i.e. permitting non-standard base-pairing at the 3rd anti-codon position. The record is from RNAcentral. Lineage: Bacteria; Pseudomonadati; Pseudomonadota; Betaproteobacteria; Burkholderiales; Burkholderiaceae.